GACGAACGCUGGCGGCGUGCUUAACACAUGCAAGUCGAACGGAAAGGCCCCUUCGGGGGUCCUCGAGUGGCGAACGGGUGAGUAACACGUGAGUAACCUGCCCUUGACUUCGGGAUAACUUCAGGAAACUGGGGCUAAUACCGGAUAGGAAUCCUUGCUGCAUGGUGGGGGUUGGAAAGCUUCGGCGGUUUUGGAUGGACUCGCGGCUUAUCAGCUUGUUGGUGGGGUAGUGGCUUACCAAGGCCUUGACGGGUAGCCGGCCUGAGAGGGCGACCGGCCUCAGUGGGACUGAGAUACGGCCCAGACUCCUACGGGAGGCAGCAGUGGGGAAUAUUGCACAAUGGGCGGAAGCCUGAUGCAGCAACGCCGCGUGCGGGAUGACGGCCUUCGGGUUGUAAACCGCUUUCAGCAGGGGCGAAGCUUGUGGUGACGGUACCUGCAGAAGAAGCACCGGCUAACUACGUG
Molecule: ribosomal RNA, 465 nt
Filed under: uncultured bacterium
Lineage: Bacteria
Description: partial 16S ribosomal RNA
Rfam family: Bacterial small subunit ribosomal RNA
Source: RNAcentral